This 336-nucleotide unclassified non-coding RNA is filed under the name Hevea brasiliensis (rubber tree). The record is from RNAcentral. Lineage: Eukaryota; Viridiplantae; Streptophyta; Magnoliopsida; Malpighiales; Euphorbiaceae.
AGCUCGGAUCUGUGCAUCAUCAAGUUUCUAUCAGAUUGGACUAACUUUCUAGUUUCAAAGCAAUCCACUAAGAUUCAGCCGUUGGACUAACUUUUGCUAUCAAAGCUAGACACUCCAAGUUCUAUGAAUUCAACUUCUUCACGGGCCUCCUGAACUCCCUCCCCUGAAGUGUACAGUUGUUUCUCAUAAAGGAUUAUCUACAUUUGGGCGUUUCAUGGAUGCCUUUUGGUAUCUCAAUUUUUCAAUCUCCUUCUCCAGAAAGUCCAAAGUAGUAUCAGUUACCUGGUUCGGCGCACAACCUGCUUCCAACAUCAUCCUUAAAAACUUAUAAGAUUG